This 426-nucleotide ribosomal RNA is filed under the name Triticum aestivum (bread wheat). Its description in RNAcentral is "partial small subunit ribosomal RNA". The record is from RNAcentral. Lineage: Eukaryota; Viridiplantae; Streptophyta; Magnoliopsida; Poales; Poaceae.
AUGGCGCGUUCGGUACCAUAUAACUGGAAUUACCGAUGCAAGUCGAAGAAGGAUUGGCCGGUGUUGUCGGCUGGCGUCAAGUUCGAUCCCACAGAUCAGGAGCUGAUCGAGCACCUUGAGGCCAAAGUGAGUGCUGACAGCGCGAGAUUUCAGUCUCUCAUCGAUUUGUUCAUACCAACCAUCGACAGCGAGCACGGCAUAUGCUACACCCAACCUGAGAAACUUCCAGGUAUCACACUGAGUGGCCUAAGGAAGCAUUUCUUCCAGCGCAAUUCCAGGACGUUCAAAAGGGGCACGUGGAUGCAUCGCAAGAUACAGUCAGAGUGUGGCAUGCACGCGAUGUGGCAUAAGACCGGCAAUACCUUGCCGGUGAUGGUCAACGGCCAGCAGACGGGCAGCAAAAAAGGUUCUGGUGCUCCACACUAA